Non-coding RNA from Schistocerca gregaria, 75 nucleotides. Lineage: Eukaryota; Metazoa; Arthropoda; Insecta; Orthoptera; Acrididae. The record is from the annotation of a RefSeq genome assembly.
GUUCUCGAUGGCACAGUCGGAUAGAGCGACUGCCGUGUAAGCAGGAGAUCCCGGGUUCGAGUCCCGGUCGGGACA